CCAGAGGGCCGGCCAGUCGCUCGUGGCUGCUUUUGCAGCUGCGGGAGGAAAGUCCGGGCUCCACGAUAUAUGGGUGCCGGAUAACUUCCGGCGAGGGUGACCUCAGGGACAGUGCAACAGAAAGCAGGUCGCGUUGGUUUCGGCUGCGUGACAUUGAAAGGGUGCGGUAAGAGCGCACCGCGGGACUGGCGACAGGACCGGCACGGUAAACCCCACCCGGAGCAAAACCAAAUAGGGGCGGCAAAUGGCGAUAUCGGCCUGCUGCCCGGGUUGGUUGCUGGAGCGGUGCAGCAAUGCAUCGCCGAGAUGAAUGGCUGGCUAUUCCGUUAUGCGGAUGGACAGAACCCGGCUUACAGGCCCUCUGGCAUU
RNAcentral lists this RNase P RNA (369 nucleotides) under Parasphingorhabdus marina DSM 22363. RNAcentral describes it as "Sphingorhabdus marina DSM 22363 Bacterial RNase P class A". It matches the Rfam family "Bacterial RNase P class A". From Rfam's summary of the family: Ribonuclease P (RNase P) is a ubiquitous endoribonuclease, found in archaea, bacteria and eukarya as well as chloroplasts and mitochondria. Lineage: Bacteria; Pseudomonadati; Pseudomonadota; Alphaproteobacteria; Sphingomonadales; Sphingorhabdaceae. The record is from Rfam by way of RNAcentral.